This is a non-coding RNA of Erythranthe guttata (spotted monkey flower), 365 nucleotides long. NCBI's taxonomy places the organism in Eukaryota, Viridiplantae, Streptophyta, Magnoliopsida, Lamiales, Phrymaceae. The record is from RefSeq and is a predicted model, not a curated record.
UGCAGCAGCCGUUCGUUUGUGAUUACUGCGGUUUCUCUCGUUUCACUUCAUCUUGCUACACCAACCAAGCAUUUCAAGAUGUAUACCGCCGCCCAGAAGAUUCACAAGGACCUGAAUGCUGAGCCCACUCAUUUCUAUUUAUACUAAUUCACAUCCUAAUGAAUGAAUGAGGGUGAUUAAUUUAAUUUUAUGGUAGAGAGUCACUCUCUAGAGUUCUCCAUGAAUAUUCUACACAUAUUUUUCCGAUUUCUUAUAUUUUUAAAGGAUUCAUAAUAUAACUAGGGGUAAAUAGCACUUAACCCCCUUGUAGUUUGGAUAUUUUGCUAUGAAUUUAGGCACAUAACUCCCUUGUGGUUUUGAUAUUU